GGAAGGUAAUAAUUUCAUUAUAAUCUACUAGUUUCCUUUUUGUUGAUAACCAAUGAAAUUAAAAUACAUGAACACAACCUUCCUGGUUUUAUCCAAUGAGUGUUAGAAAGUGAAAAUGAUUGAAGCGUCAAUAUCUUAUGCCCUUGACUGUUUCUUAUUUUUCCUAUGAUGCUUCCCGUUCAUUUAGUAGAAUUAAAAAUUCAUUCAAAUUCAAGACUUAUCAGACCAUUAGCCCUCAUUUU
This 242-nucleotide unclassified non-coding RNA is filed under the name Hevea brasiliensis (rubber tree). Lineage: Eukaryota; Viridiplantae; Streptophyta; Magnoliopsida; Malpighiales; Euphorbiaceae. The record is from RNAcentral.